UCGGCGGAGCUGCAGCGGACUGGGCCCGGGUGGGACACGGAGUAGAGCCAGGCACCGGGCAGGGGUCGGAUCACCUAUUCAACGCGGGAGAGGUUCAUGCGCCUCGUCCCCGCCGCCCUCUACUCGGUUCCAGAAGGUGACUUAAGACAGCUGGAACAGAAACCCUGAGACCACGCUGCAGGUGCUGAGAGCUGCUUUUCCCGUCUGCUUCAGCCCUAUACCAAGAUAUCAAAGCUGCAGAGACAGUGGACUUUGACAGCAGGGGAGCUAUGCUGCAUCUGCAAGACUCCAUUGUGCAUCAAGGGCAGCUCU
This is a long non-coding RNA of Dryobates pubescens (Downy woodpecker), 312 nucleotides long. RefSeq lists it as uncharacterized. The record is from RefSeq and is a predicted model, not a curated record. NCBI's taxonomy places the organism in Eukaryota, Metazoa, Chordata, Aves, Piciformes, Picidae. The transcript is spliced from 3 exons.